RNAcentral lists this ribosomal RNA (451 nucleotides) under uncultured bacterium. RNAcentral describes it as "partial 16S ribosomal RNA". It matches the Rfam family "Bacterial small subunit ribosomal RNA", at positions 29 to 523 of the family's 1533-position model. The record is from RNAcentral.
AACGAACGCUGGCGGCAGGCUUAGCACAUGCAAGUCGAACGGGCGUAGCAAUACGUCAGUGGCAGACGGGUGAGUAACACGUGGGAACCUUCCUAGGGGUACGGAACAACUCAGGGAAACUUGAGCUAAUACCGUAUACGUCCGUGAGGAGAAAGAUUUAUCGCCCUUAGACGGGCCCGCGUCGGAUUAGCUAGUUGGUGGGGUAACGGCCUACCAAGGCGACGAUCCGUAGCUGAUCUUAGAGGAUGAUCAGCCACACUGGGACUGAGACACGGCCCAGACUCCUACGGGAGGCAGCAGUGGGGAAUCUUGGACAAUGGGCGCAAGCCUGAUCCAGCCAUGCCGCGUGAGUGAAGAAGGCCUUAGGGUUGUAAAGCUCUUUUGCCAGGGACGAUAAUGACGGUACCUGGAGAAUAAGCCCCGGCAAACUUCGUGCCAGCCGCCGCCGUAA